AACGUAGGUGGCAAGCGUUGUCCGGAAUUACUGGGUGUAAAGGGAGCGCAGGCGGGAGAGCAAGUUGGGAGUGAAAUCUGUGGGCUCAACCCACAAAUUGCUUUCAAAACUGUUUUUCUUGAGUGGUGUAGAGGUAGGCGGAAUUCCCGGUGUAGCGGUGGAAUGCGUAGAUAUCGGGAGGAACACCAGUGGCGAAGGCGGCCUACUGGGCACUAACUGACGCUGAGGCUCGAAAGCAUGGGUAGCAAACAGG
Molecule: ribosomal RNA, 253 nt
Filed under: uncultured bacterium
Lineage: Bacteria
Description: partial 16S ribosomal RNA
Rfam family: Bacterial small subunit ribosomal RNA
Source: RNAcentral